This 492-nucleotide ribosomal RNA is filed under the name Pseudomonas plecoglossicida. Its description in RNAcentral is "bacterial SSU rRNA". It matches the Rfam family "Bacterial small subunit ribosomal RNA", at positions 34 to 519 of the family's 1533-position model. Lineage: Bacteria; Pseudomonadati; Pseudomonadota; Gammaproteobacteria; Pseudomonadales; Pseudomonadaceae. The record is from RNAcentral.
CGCUGGCGGCGGUCUACCGUGCACGUCUCGCGCAUGACGGGAGCUUGCUCCUUGAUUCACCGGCGGACGGCGUGAGUAAUGCCUAGGACUCUGCCUGGUAGUGUGGGACAACGUUUCGCAAGCGAACGCUUAUACCGCAUACGUCCUACGGGAGAGAGCAGGGGACCUUCGGGCCUUGCGCUAUCAGAUGCAGCCUAGGUCGGAUUAGCUAGUUGGUGGGGUAAAUGGGUCACCUAGGCGACGAUCCGUAACUGGUCUGAGAGGAUGAUCAGUCACACUGGAACUGAGACACGGUCCAGACUCCUACGGGAGGCAGCAGUGGGGAAUAUUGGACAAUGGGCGAAAGCCUGAUCCAGCCAUGCCCACGUGUGUGAAGAAGGUCUUCGGAUUGUAAAGCACUUUAGGUUGGGAGGAAGGGCAGUAAGCUAAUACCUUGCUGUUUUGACGUUACCGACAGAAUAAGCACCGGCUAACUCUGUGCCAGCAGCCGCG